UGAACGCUAGCGACAGGCCUAACACAUGCAAGUCGAGGGCGAGCACAAGGAGCAAUCUGAGGUGGCGACCGGCGCACGGGUGAGUAACACGUAUGCAACCUGCCUGUAAGCGGGGAAUAACCCGUUGAAAGACGGACUAAUACCGCAUAAUACUAAAUUACUGCAUGGUAAUUUAUUUAAACAUUUAUGGCUUACAGAUGGGCAUGCGCAUGAUUAGCUAGUUGGAGAGGUAACGGCUCCCCAAGGCAACGAUCAUUAGGGGUUCUGAGAGGAAGGUCCCCCACACUGGUACUGAGACACGGACCAGACUCCUACGGGAGGCAGCAGUGAGGAAUAUUGGUCAAUGGACGAGAGUCUGAACCAGCCAAGUCGCGUGCAGGAAGAAUGUCCCUAUGGAUUGUAAACUGCUUUUGCAGGGGAAUAAAGUGCAUCACGUGUGAUGUUUUGUAUGUACUCUGCGAAUAAGGAUCGGCUAACUCCGUGCCAGCCGCUGC
Molecule: ribosomal RNA, 494 nt
Filed under: uncultured bacterium
Lineage: Bacteria
Description: bacterial SSU rRNA
Rfam family: Bacterial small subunit ribosomal RNA
Source: RNAcentral